This 497-nucleotide ribosomal RNA is filed under the name uncultured bacterium. RNAcentral's name for it is "partial 16S ribosomal RNA". It matches the Rfam family "Bacterial small subunit ribosomal RNA", at positions 28 to 507 of the family's 1533-position model. The record is from RNAcentral.
GAUGAACGCUGGCGGCGUGCCUAAUACAUGCAAGUCGAGCGAACGGACGAGAAGCUUGCUUCUCUGAUGUUAGCGGCGGACGGGUGAGUAACACGUGGAUAACCUACCUAUAAGACUGGGAUAACUUCGGGAAACCGGAGCUAAUACCGGAUAAUAUUUUGAACCGCAUGGUUCAAAAGUGAAAGACGGUCUUGCUGUCACUUAUAGAUGGAUCCGCGCUGCAUUAGCUAGUUGGUAAGGUAACGGCUUACCAAGGCAACGAUGCAUAGCCGAGCUGAGAGAGUGAUCGGCCACACUGGAGCUGAGACACGGUCCAGACUCCUACGGGAGGCAGCAGUAGGGAAUCUUACGCAAUGGGCGAAAGCAUGACGGAGCAGCGCCGCGCGAGUGAUGAAGGUCUUGGGAUCGUAAAAAUCUGUUAUUAGGGAAGAACCUAUGUGUAAGUAAAUGUGGACAUAUUGACGGUACCUAAUCAGAAAGCCACGGCUAACUACGUG